RNAcentral lists this transfer RNA (73 nucleotides) under Cricetulus griseus (Chinese hamster). Its description in RNAcentral is "tRNA-Val". The record is from RNAcentral. Lineage: Eukaryota; Metazoa; Chordata; Mammalia; Rodentia; Cricetidae.
AAUACCCGCCCGGUUUCGAACCGGGGACCUCUCGCGUGUUAGGCGAGCGUGAUAACCACUACACUACGGAAAC